This 162-nucleotide unclassified non-coding RNA is filed under the name soil metagenome. Its description in RNAcentral is "partial internal transcribed spacer 1". The record is from RNAcentral.
CUGAGUUGCAGAACUCCCUACCAUUGUGAACCUACCUAUCGUUGCUUCGGCGGGGGGGGCCCUCAGCGGCCUCGCGCCCACCCCCUCGGGGGAGGCAGCCCGCCGGAGGCGUCCAAACUAUAGCAUACAUUGGCCUCUCUGAGUAGCUUAUAAAAUAAGUCA